Long non-coding RNA from Frieseomelitta varia, 442 nucleotides. RefSeq lists it as uncharacterized. The record is from RefSeq and is a predicted model, not a curated record. Lineage: Eukaryota; Metazoa; Arthropoda; Insecta; Hymenoptera; Apidae. The transcript has 2 exons.
UAAAUAACUUUAAAUUUUUAAUUGUGUACCCUUCUUAUAUGUAGUUCAUUAGAAAUAACUUUAAGCUUCAUGUUUCUAUUGGUACUCGAAUUAAUCGGUACUAUAUUUUCGGAUUAAUUCGAUCAAACCCUUUUAUUGGAAACAAUUGAAAUAAGUGAAAAUUGAUUUUUCAAAAAUAGAAAUCACAAUGGCACGUGUUAUAAAAUUCGUAAAGAAUAUUUAUUAUGAUCCUUUUAAAUGGUCAAUAGUUAAAAGUAUCGGUUUAUUUAUACUAGGCGUAAAGAUUGCUGUUGAAUGUAAAGGAGUGAAUCUAAUGCCACCAAUUUCUUAAAAACUGAAAUAUUAAAAACUGAAAAUAGAUUUAAAUUUGUCAUAUUAUGCAUGUGCAUAUGUAUUUUAUCAUUCCCAUGUAAAAAAUAAUUGUAAAAGGCACAAAACAUUU